CCUACGGGGGGCAGCAGUGGGGAAUAUUGGACAAUGGGGGCAACCCUGAUCCAGCCAUGCCGCGUGUGUGAAGAAGGCCCUCGGGUUGUAAAGCACUUUCAGUGAGGAAGAACGCCUGGUGGUUAAUACCCAUCAGGAAAGACAUCACUCACAGAAGAAGCACCGGCUAACUCCGUGCCAGCAGCCGCGGUAAUACGGAGGGUGCGAGCGUUAAUCGGAAUUACUGGGCGUAAAGCGCGCGUAGGUGGCUUGAUGAGCCGGUUGUGAAAGCCCCGGGCUCAACCUGGGAACGGCAUCCGGAACUGUCAAGCUAGAGUGCAGGAGAGGAAGGUAGAAUUCCCGGUGUAGCGGUGAAAUGCGUAGAGAUCGGGAGGAAUACCAGUGGCGAAGGCGUCCUUCUGGACUGACACUGACACUGAGGUGCGAAAGCGUGGGUAGCAAACAGGAUUAGAUACCCCGGUAGUC
RNAcentral lists this ribosomal RNA (465 nucleotides) under Vreelandella stevensii. RNAcentral's name for it is "partial 16S ribosomal RNA". It matches the Rfam family "Bacterial small subunit ribosomal RNA", at positions 338 to 795 of the family's 1533-position model. Lineage: Bacteria; Pseudomonadati; Pseudomonadota; Gammaproteobacteria; Oceanospirillales; Halomonadaceae. The record is from RNAcentral.